UUCCGUAAUGUCUUGAAUUGAUGGGGUAGGAGCUUCAUUAUGACUUGAUCACCUUCCUUGUACUCAACAUGUCGUCUCCUUGUAUCCGCCCAUUUCUUCAUUUUUCUUGUGGCUUUGUCGAGGUUGACUCGCGUGAUGUCUGAUUCCCCAUGUUUGGGUGGCGCCAUGCGGUAGGGCGCCAGGGCUGGUGGCUUCGCACCUUGUUCAGCUCGAUCGAAUGAUCUACCUCUCGCCGCGGUGGGAGCUUUUUCGGAAGUUCUGGCGGCAUCACAUCCUAGCACUCAUUAAGGAUGGCUUGAAUUCGUGGAGGGACUUGGCUUGGCGACAUUCCGCUAUUUCCUUCCUCGUUCAGUUCCCGAAUGGAGACCAAGAAGCUUGGGUCCUUCUUGAUGUACUCAUUAAGGAUGGCUUGAAUUCGUGGAGGGACUUGGCUUGGCGACAUUCCGCUAUUUCCUUCCUCGUUCAGUUCCCGAAUGGAGACCAAGAAGCUUGGGUCCUUUCUUGAAAGCCUUCUUGAAUUGCAUGGCGGAGAGUGUCUUCUCCUCGGACUUGCAUCUCUCCACGGGUACCAUGCAUGCCUUGCUCCCGUCAAGUAUGCUUUGGGAGUUUGUAGCGGGCAGCGGGAAGGCAUAGGCUUGGUCGAAGAAUUCCAUGCCAAGGACCAUCUUGAAGUCAUCCAUGGGCACAAUAGAGAAGUGGAGCUUUCCACUCCACGUUCCGAGUGUUAACUGCACGCCUUGUGCAGU
This 746-nucleotide long non-coding RNA is filed under the name Nicotiana benthamiana. RNAcentral describes it as "long non-coding RNA (NBEN_LNC007289)". The record is from RNAcentral. Lineage: Eukaryota; Viridiplantae; Streptophyta; Magnoliopsida; Solanales; Solanaceae.